Molecule: ribosomal RNA, 465 nt
Filed under: uncultured bacterium
Lineage: Bacteria
Description: partial 16S ribosomal RNA
Rfam family: Bacterial small subunit ribosomal RNA
Source: RNAcentral
GACGAACGCUGGCGGCGUGCUUAACACAUGCAAGUCGAACGCUGAACCCGCUUCGGUGGGGGAUGAGUGGCGAACGGGUGAGUAACACGUGGGCAACCUGCCCCCGGCUCUGGGAUAACUCCAAGAAAUUGGGGCUAAUACCGGAUGUGACCGCUGGCCGCAUGGUCUGGUGGUGGAAAGUGUUUCCGGCUGGGGAUGGGCCCGCGGCCUAUCAGCUUGUUGGUGGGGUAGUGGCCUACCAAGGCGACGACGGGUAGCCGGCCUGAGAGGGUGACCGGCCACACUGGGACUGAGACACGGCCCAGACUCCUACGGGAGGCAGCAGUGGGGAAUAUUGCGCAAUGGGCGGAAGCCUGACGCAGCGACGCCGCGUGGGGGAUGACGGCCUUCGGGUUGUAAACCUCUUUCAGCAGGGACGAAGCGCAAGUGACGGUACCUGCAGAAGAAGCACCGGCCAACUACGUG